RNAcentral lists this non-coding RNA (380 nucleotides) under Acrochaetium secundatum. Lineage: Eukaryota; Rhodophyta; Florideophyceae; Acrochaetiales; Acrochaetiaceae. The record is from RNAcentral.
GGGACUGUCUGGUUUCUACAUAUAAAUACAUCUUAUAAGAGUCAAAGGGAAAAAGUUUAAGUUCAACUUUUAAAAUAAAGACUUAAAAUUUAAAUGCAAAAAAUCAAAUUGUUACUUUUAAUCGGACUUUAGUUGCUGUAUAAUUAUAUAUUAUGUAGAGAUACUAAAAUUUGUAAUCAGAUCUUAAUUUAAUAUAUUAAUCUUGAUUAGAGUAAUAUUACGCUCUUAGCUUGAAUUUCAAUACUAAGUAUUAAGCUAAGAAAAGUCAAUAAUUGUAAUAGAUAAAUGAACUUCCUCAAAAUUAAUAAGUGAAUUUUUUAUUAAUUACUUUUACAUAUGAUGUAUUAAUAUGGACGUGGGUUCGAAUCCCACCAGUUCCA